This 2531-nucleotide long non-coding RNA is filed under the name Olea europaea subsp. europaea. The record is from RNAcentral. Lineage: Eukaryota; Viridiplantae; Streptophyta; Magnoliopsida; Lamiales; Oleaceae.
AUUUAAAGAUAUGCAAUUGUAGGAUUACUUCGAAUCCAGAAGUUUUCUAGCUUGGGCUUAUGAGUAGCUCGGGCAUAAUUCCUCUACGCAUUCACUGUAUCUCCACCAAUGUAAGGUCCUUCAAUUACAGUAUGGAUCUCUCUCAAUGGAGGUCGGGGAGUGUGAGUUAUUUUUCGGUGCUCUUAAUAAAUCGGCGUGCCUUGGCCUACUUCCGUGACCCUGUCUCUUACACUUAGGUAUGGAGUUUUUUUGCUUUCAGAUCCUACAUAUAUCCCACCUUGCUAACUUCAGCUUUUCCAUCCUGAUUUCCUCGAAGCACUCAUCUAUGUCAUGAUUCCUUGCUAUAAUGUAUUUUGCAGAAUUUCACCUUUUCGUUUUUAGGGCUAUUUCACCUGCCAUUUACGAGGAGCUAUAGAGAUUGCAUACACUUUACCUUAAUGCUCGUCGAGGUACGAGUUUUGCUAUUUAGGUAGACUAGGUGCAUAUGUCAAAGCUUUUCCCUUGAGAGCUCGUCCCUGCUCUAUCUUCUUUCUUUUCUCUAUGAUGUCCUCUAUCUGGAUUUCAUUUUGUAUUAGGCUUAUCAGUUGGUGUAGGAGCUUGGAUUCUUGUAACGAACAACACAUCAGAUGGGAGUUUCUAUUAGCAAAUCGUUUCAUUAAACAUCCUGAGCAUUUUCAUCAGAUUAUUUUCACAAACGAUCAGCUCAGCACUAAAUCGCGCAAAGUAGCUCUUAAGGAAUUCACCUUCUUCUUACCUCCUAUCAUUUAGCCUUGUAUCAGGGGUUGUCCCAUUAUACUACCUUGAAAUGUCCCUAGAAAGGUUUGUUUCAACUAUGGCCAGCUUUAGAUUGACCCCAUUGGUAGCUUGUUAUACCAUCGUUUGGCAGAUCCAUCCAACAUCGGAUGAAAACCUGGCACUUGAGUACAAUACCUCCUUUUUCAGUUAUAUCUGCAUUAUAUACUUGAACAAACGGCAUAAAGGAUCACUUUUGCCACUAUACCUCUCCAUGAUUGGGCGAAAGUUAUCCGAAUUGGCUCCUUCUUGAUCUCCCCAGAGAAUGGUAGAUACUCAUCUUCAUUUUUCUAGCUCGUAUGACCUUGCAAGUCGAUCCUCAUAUUCCUCAUAUAGAGGAGCCUUAUGCAAGGUGUUGAUCAAGAUCUCCACCCUCCGGCCUUCUUGGCAACUAUGCUCCCUGUCAUAUGAAGUUGCUUACUUUGUAAACCUUUCCUUGGCAGGCAUGUUCAUGUGUCGCCAUUUAUGUCGCCUCUCCGACGUACUGUCGUCGUUUUUUGACACAUACUAACUAUAGUUCAUUGUGGAAAGAACUGUUAGCGGGAUCCAUCUCAUUUUCUCCAGACUCUUCAUGCAUAUUGGCCUUUGUAUUCUCAACAUGUGCACGUAGAGAUGCAUUCUUUGCUGUUAAUGCCUUUAAGCUCUCCUUCCUUUCUUAUAUGUCUUUUUCAGUUGAUAUUUUCUUUCGCAAGCGACCGCCCUGUAUGAGAGAGAUGCUAGAUUGUACUCUUGCUGAAGUUUUCUCUUGUUGCCUUAUAGGAUUAGCAUCACUGUCCACCAGACAAUCGCUAUACUCUCUGGCUUCAACUUCUAAUGCUUUCAUUUUUUCUAGUUUUUUCUCUGUUUGACUCAUUUUUCCAAAUCUUAAGGAUUUCUCAACUCCAAUAUCUUAUGGUUUAUUUGCUCUAUGAUGGAAAUCGGGUCAACAAAUUCCUGUCACAUAAUCAGGAUUUUCACCUCCUAAACUCAUUAGUUUUGAUGCUCAAACUGGAGCAAGAGAAGAAAUGUUUAUUUGGGAAUGAGAUAUUUGAAUUUUUAUACUUCACUCUUCUUAGGUGGGAAUACUUAAAAAAUUUUCUCCAAGCUUUGAGAUAAUUCAGUCAUUUCUAAUAAAUGAUGACGGCUUUUUAUUUUUUUGUAACUGAUUCUGUUAGAGUAUCACAUUUUAUUCAUUAACUUAUGUGUCUUAGUAAUGGCUCUUAACUAGCUUGGAUAGGAAAAGGGUUUGCCCCCCUUUCUUCUCCUUGUAUAUCGUUUUAGCUUUGUAGGUGAAGGAACAUGUUUGUGGACAGUGGCGGAGCCAGCCCCUGAGGAGGGAACGAGGCCGAGCAUACUAACUCCGUCGAAACCUAUAGUUGGACUCGUCAUCAGGAGCCAGCCACCAUGGACAAAGCUUCAACUAGAAAGUUGAAAUGUACGUACAGACGAGGAUGGAAUGAUUUGGAAGAUGAACAAAAGUGGAUUUGGACCAAAUUUUUAAAGUUGCAAGCCGUUUCUUUUGGGCCUCUUGUAAAAAUAUAGGCCCAAUUGCUCAAUCCAAUGGAUUGAAGAUGCAGAGACUGCUUGCUAGUUUUAUUCACUUCUAGCUCACACGCGCACACACUUCAAGGACAAAAUGAGCUACCAUCAAUGUUGAGCUACUGCCGCACUGCACCACAUCGCCACCAGUGCAUUGCCUCCGAUGACUAACUCCACUUGUGAGUCGUGACAGCAUAACGCGAACAGUGAGCCUUCUGCCU